GCUUGAGAGAACUCGGGUGAAGGAACUAGGCAAAAUGGUGCCGUAACUUCGGGAGAAGGCACGCUGACACGUAGGUGAAGUGGUUUACCCAUGGAGCUGAAGUCAGUCGAAGAUACCAGCUGGCUGCAACUGUUUAUUAAAAACACAGCACUGUGCAAACACGAAAGUGGACGUAUACGGUGUGACGCCUGCCCGGUGCCGGAAGGUUAAUUGAUGGGGUCAGCGCAAGCGAAGCUCCUGAUCGAAGCCCCGGUAAACGGCGGCCGUAACUAUAACGGUCCUAAGGUAGCGAAAUUCCUUGUCGGGUAAGUUCCGACCUGCACGAAUGGCGUAAUGAUGGCCAGGCUGUCUCCACCCGGGACUCAGUGAAAUUGAACUCGCUGUGAAGAUGCAGUGUACCCGCGGCAAGACGGAAAGACCCCGUGAACCUUUACUAUAGCUUGACACUGAACACUGGUCCUUGAUGUGCAGGAUAGGUGGGAGGCUUUGAAGUGUGGACGCCAGUCUGCAUGGAGCCAUCCUUGAAAUACCACCCUUUAAUGGCUGGUGUUCUAACGUGGGCCCGUGAACCGGGUUGCGGACAGUGUCUGGUGGGUAGUUUGACUGGGGCGGUCUCCUCCUAAAGAGUAACGGAGGAGCACGAAGGUUGGCUAAUCCUGGUCGGACAUCAGGAGGUUAGUGCAAUGGCAUAAGCCAGCUUGACUGCGAGCGUGACGGCGCGAGCAGGUGCGAAAGCAGGUCAUAGUGAUCCGGUGGUUCUGAAUGGAAGGGCCAUCGCUCAACGGAUAAAAGGUACUCCGGGGAUAACAGGCUGAUACCGCCCAAGAGUUCAUAUCGACGGCGGUGUUUGGCACCUCGAUGUCGGCUCAUCACAUCCUGGGGCUGAAGUAGGUCCCAAGGGUAUGGCUGUUCGCCAUUUAAAGUGGUACGCGAGCUGGGUUUAGAACGUCGUGAGACAGUUCGGUCCCUAUCUGCCGUGGGCGCUGGAAGAUUGAGGGGGGCUGCUCCUAGUACGAGAGGACCGGAGUGGACGCAUCACUGGUGUUCGGGUUGUCAUGCCAAUGGCACUGCCCGGUAGCUACAUGCGGAAGAGAUAAGUGCUGAAAGCAUCUAAGCACGAAACUUGCCCCGAGAUGAAUCUUCCCUGAGCCUUUAAGGCUCCUGAAGGAACGUUGAAGACGACGACGUUGAUAGGCCGGGUGUGUAAGCGCAGCGAUGCGUUGAGCUAACCGGUACUAAUGAACCGUGAGGCUUAACCUU
Molecule: ribosomal RNA, 1260 nt
Filed under: Salmonella enterica
Lineage: Bacteria; Pseudomonadati; Pseudomonadota; Gammaproteobacteria; Enterobacterales; Enterobacteriaceae
Description: partial 23S ribosomal RNA
Rfam family: Bacterial large subunit ribosomal RNA
Source: RNAcentral